UCAUCCAUCCAAAUGGUUGAUCACCAACAAAUAUACAAGAGAAGACUCCAGAUCCAAUCCCAGAAUUCCUGCUCACCUGUAAUCGGAAGUCUACUGGACUAAAGCGGCAGCGUUGCGAUAUUUCCUGCUUAAUAUUUUCAGAUAUGGGAAAAGCACUUAAGAUGACCACACGUUUCAGGAACGUUAAAAUUAAGUUGGUGAGGAGGUCUAUGGUGGGCCCUGCAAGUUUUCUUACCUCAGUCAAGGUCUUCCCCAGCCCAGCUACAAUCAGACCCACCCUUCAGACCCUUCUAUUACAUCUCAACCUGCUGAACCUGAUGAUGCGACACCAAGCUGUUCUGAGAGCGCAUACAGUAAGGCAAAGAAGAGAGAGCUUCAUGCCUGGGAUGCAGUCAAGGAUGAGAUGCUUAAGGUGUCGUUUGAAUGUUCAGCACCGAUCACUACCCAGUGUGUUGUCUGCUGAGAACAUGCUGAUUAUAGGUGCAUUGAGUGCAGCUCCACUACAGUGUUCUGUGAGGUUUGCCUGAAGAGGAUUCACAGAAAUUUACUGCAUCUUCCUGAAAAGUGGAAUAAUGUUUACUAUGAGCCAUCCUCCCUGGGAUUAUUCCUAUAUUUACCUGAAGCCCAUGGCACCCAUGCUGUGUACACAAAGGACAUGAAGAUCAUUGUCAGCACAGGACGGCUCUGCACCGUUACAGUCACCAUGUGUGCGUGUGAACCAGAAACCUGUACUCUGUUGAGGCGGAUGGAGAUAUGAUUGUCACAUUGGAUGCCAACUUUGGCCUUGUGAGGAAUCAAAGCUCUGGGACAAGUGCGGUUGAUCCAUUACACGGAACCCGCGUGUUUGUUGAUGAAAAGGAUGUAGAGGAAUACCUGCUAUCACAUCUUGACAGCUCAAAGCCUCGAGGUUAAUCAUUGUUGCAGAAUUUCAUUCGAGUCCAUGAAAUAUUAAUUAAACUUGUGAAAAAA
Carassius auratus (goldfish) is the source of this 969-nucleotide long non-coding RNA. RefSeq lists it as uncharacterized. The record is from RefSeq and is a predicted model, not a curated record. Lineage: Eukaryota; Metazoa; Chordata; Actinopteri; Cypriniformes; Cyprinidae. The transcript has 5 exons.